RNAcentral lists this unclassified non-coding RNA (359 nucleotides) under soil metagenome. RNAcentral's name for it is "partial contains small subunit ribosomal RNA, internal transcribed spacer 1, and 5.8S ribosomal RNA". The record is from RNAcentral.
UUUCCGUAGGUGAACCUGCGGAAGGAUCAUUAAUACGUUUGUAACAAAACGUCUAAACCCAAUGAAUCGUGAACUAGUGUUUUACGGGUUCGCAUUUGUGAGACCUCUCGGGGUCUGGAGCUUUUUGGGCCUUCAUGGUUCAAACAUCUCAGUGUAGAGCAGUGAGAUGACAUCACAGCAAUGUGUGUGGUUCUGAAAUACAAAUGCUUAUCCGGUUAAUUCUUGCUCUACAUUUUUUCAAAUCAAACUCUAUGUACAACAACUUGAACUAACAACCUUUUUUUGUCCUGGAGCAAUCCGAGAGAAGAAAAAAUAACCGAAAUUAAGAACAACUCUUAACAACGGAUAUCUUGGUUCUC